CAGACCCACUGGCGGCCUCAGCAGCGCGAUUCGGGCUCCCAGCGCCAGAACGGCAGCAGAUGCCCCAGCCGCUGCCAUUGUAGCCGUCCCGGUUGGUUUACCCGUGCCCAAAAGGGGGCAUCGGCCUCAGACAACUCCCCCUGCCCCGAUUGGCUGGGCUGGGAGAGGAGGAGCAAAUAGAUCGGCCUUUAAGGGAAAGGAUUUUUAAAAUAUCGAUUGUGAGAGGUGGACAUGUUUGAUUGUGUAGUCGGUCCAGACCAAGCUGUUUCCUCAGACGCCACCAAUCCUGAUAGCGUGCAAUCCACCUUGCCAAAUUUGUAUACAGCACCAGAAUGCCAAAAGGAAAAAAUAUAUAUUUCUGCAGAAAAGCAUUUCUACUAUGCUCUUCAGUCUGAUACACUCCAGAGGUAGUUCUAGAGAUAGAAAAGCAUACAGUUGAAAAUUCAAAAGCUCUGUGAUAUCAGUUAAGAAAGCCGAAUCAAAAAUGCUUCCAGGGUCAGAAAGUACUUCUUGACCUUUUCCUUUCUUGAGAAACACAUCGACUUCAUGAUGAAGGCUGAAAAAACGUUUGAGGAUUUUGCCUCUGCUAAGCUGACUAGCUUCUGCAUGGGUUCCUGUCUCCUAAACUGAGUUGUUUCUAGAUGAAGCUAUCAUCUUGUAUUCACACUGCCUUAUUCAAGGGAUUUUAAAGGGAUCCACAUCACAUCUUCAUUUUAUAGCCCUCUUGUGUUUUUUCUUCUUCCCUCUCCUCCUCCUCUAGGGAUUCAGUGGUUGAUCAAGAUCAGAGAGGCCCCUUCAAUGCUUCCCCCUAGAAAAAAACAAGAUGGGGUGAACCUAAAAUCAAUUCUAACCAGUAGGCAUAAAUAACUGUAGCUGUAACAAAUCUCCAUAGCACUUUGAGGACAUUAUCAGAUCUCCUAAAUCAGAUUGCCACAUAAAGCAGUGUCUGCUCAAGACUUGAAACAGAGUGAUCUGCUGAAUCUGAUGUUAGUCAAAAAUCCCAAAAACAUCCAAGGGAAUAGGAGAAAGAAAUAAUCUUUCUUUGAGCAAGUCCACUCUCCCAGGAUUUCUGACAAGUUUGAUUCAUGCCAUAUCCAAUUUUUAACAUUUGAUGGAGGCAAAGGAAGUCUGAGAAGCAGCAGAAACCUCCAAGAGGCCAAAUGCCACUGGCCUUGUCUCUGUUGAGAGGAGCACAUGGUAAGCUACCCAGAGAACUUCAAAUAUUGGGCAGCUCCUUAAAGGUGGAACUUGCAAUCUGAAAAAAAAGUCAUAGCCAAUGCUAAAUGGCUCACUGUGACUGCAGCUUAUUGAACUCUGCAAUGAGUCACAACCACCUCAUGGAAAUCAUGUUGCAUUCAAAUGUUGGAUGCAUGUGAGUUCAUGCUGCAUGUGAAACAGAUCUCUGAAGUAGGAGCUGGCAAUCACUUUCCUGCAAGGUUUAGUUUCACAUACGUUUUACCAGGUAAUAGCCAUUCUGUUUCCAGUGAUAGGAAUCUGCACCAGAACACCUGAAAUGGGACAUUAACACAUUUGUAUUUACAACAAGUACACUCUCUCUGUCACUACUGUUAUUCUAGUUACUGCCAAUAUACCACAGGAAUAUGCACAAAGUAUACAAGGCAUGGUCUCCACUGUUGGAAAAUAAAAUGUCUUCCAAAUAUUUA
Long non-coding RNA from Varanus komodoensis (Komodo dragon), 1664 nucleotides. RefSeq lists it as uncharacterized. The record is from RefSeq and is a predicted model, not a curated record. The transcript has 3 exons. NCBI's taxonomy places the organism in Eukaryota, Metazoa, Chordata, Lepidosauria, Squamata, Varanidae.